AUUGAACGCUGGCGGCAUGCUUUACACAUGCAAGUCGAACGGCAGCACGGGUGCUUGCACCUGGUGGCGAGUGGCGAACGGGUGAGUAAUGCAUCGGAACGUGCCCAUGAGUGGGGGAUAGCCCGGCGAAAGCCGGAUUAAUACCGCAUACGCCCUUAGGGGGAAAGGCGGGGGAGUCUUCGGACCUCGCGCUAUUGGAGCGGCCGAUGUCGGAUUAGCUAGUAGGUGAGGUAAAGGCUCACCUAGGCGACGAUCCGUAGCUGGUCUGAGAGGAUGAUCAGCCACACUGGGACUGAGACACGGCCCAGACUCCUACGGGAGGCAGCAGUGGGGAAUUUUGGACAAUGGGCGCAAGCCUGAUCCAGCCAUGCCGCGUGAGUGAAGAAGGCCUCGGUU
RNAcentral lists this ribosomal RNA (396 nucleotides) under uncultured bacterium. RNAcentral describes it as "bacterial SSU rRNA". It matches the Rfam family "Bacterial small subunit ribosomal RNA", at positions 28 to 424 of the family's 1533-position model. The record is from RNAcentral.